This 1984-nucleotide ribosomal RNA is filed under the name human gut metagenome. RNAcentral's name for it is "bacterial LSU rRNA". It matches the Rfam family "Bacterial large subunit ribosomal RNA", at positions 1 to 1987 of the family's 2925-position model. The record is from RNAcentral.
UUAAAUUAUUAAGGGCGUAUGGUGGAUGCCUUGGCAUUAGAAGACGAUGAAGGACGCGACAAACAGCGAUAUUGCUUCGGGGAGUUGUAAGUAAACUACGAUCCGGAGAUCUCCGAAUGAGGAAACUCACCCAUUAGGGUAUCAUAAAGUGAAUACAUAGCUUUAUUGAAGUCAACCCCGUGAACUGAAACAUCUUAGUAACGGGAGGAAAAGAAAGAAAAAUCGAUUGCCUGAGUAGUGGCGAGCGAAACGGCAACAGCCCAAACCAGUCUUAGGACUGGGGUUGUAGGACACUAAUAUACGGAGUUACCAAGUUUUAUGAUAGCAGAACACUUUGGAAAGAGUGACCAUAGGAAGUGAUAGUCUUGUAUGCGAAAUCAUGAAACCUCUAUAGUGUAUCCUGAGUACGGCGGGACACGAGAAAUCUUGUCGGAAUCUGUGGGGACCAUCCCAUAAGGCUAAAUACUCUCUAAUGACCGAUAGUGAACAAGUACCGUGAGGGAAAGGUGAAAAGAACCCCGGGAGGGGAGUGAAAUAGAGAAUCUGAAACCAUAUGCUUACAAAAAGUUCGAGCCCAUUAACGGGUGAGAGCGUGCCUUUUGCAGAAUGAGCCGGCGAGUUAUGGUAUUGUGCAAGGUUAAGUGGAAAACACGGAGCCGAAGCGAAAGCGAGUCUUAAUAGGGCGAUUUAGUACAAUGCUGUAGACCCGAAACCGAGUGAUCUAGCCAUGAGCAGGUUGAAGUUGGGGUAAUACCCAAUGGAGGACCGAACCAGGGUACUAUGUAACGUGCUUGGAUGACUUGUGGCUAGCGGUGAAAUUCCAAUCGAACUCGGAUAUAGCUGGUUCUCCCCGAAAUAGGUUUAGGCCUAGCCUUGAAUUAUUUCAUCCUGGAGGUAGAGCACUGAAUGUGGAAUGGCCGCGUCUAGCGGUACUGACUGCAAUCAACCUCCGAAUGCCAGGAAUUGUAGAUUCAGGAGUCAGUGUAUGAGGUGAUAACGUCCAUACGCGAAAGGAAAACAAUCCAGACCAUCAACUAAGGUCCCUAAAUAUAUGUUAAGUGGGAAAGGAUGUGGAGACGCACGAACAGCUAGGAGGUUGGCUUAGAAGCAGCCAUCCUUUAAAGAGUGCGUAAUAGCUCACUAGUCGAGUAUCUCUGCGCCGAAAAUGUACCGGGGCUAAACAUAUUACCGAAGUUAUGGAUUUAUAAUUUAUUAUAAAUGGUAGGGGAGCGUUCUAAGGGCGCUGAAGGUAGAUCGCGAGGACUACUGGAGCGCUUAGAAGUGAGAAUGCCGGUGUGAGUAACGUAAGGUAGGUGAGAAUCCUACCCACUAUUUGACCAAGGUUUCCAGGGUCAAGUUCGUCUUCCCUGGGUUAGUCAGGACCUAAGGCGAGGCUGAAAAGCGUAGUCGAUGGACAACAGGUUUAUAUUCCUGUACUGCUUAUAAGACUGAUGGAGUGACGGAGAAAGCUAGGAAGGGCCAGUUAUUGGAUUCUGGUCUAAGCAAGUAGGCUGAUACAUAGGAAAAUCCGUGAUAUCGAUAAGGCUGAGAUGUGAUGGCGACGUGGUCUACGGACUACUAAGUCUUCUGAAGCUAUGCUUCCAAGAAAAACUUCUAAAGAUAUGUUAUAAGUACCUGUACCUAGAACCGACACAGGUGGUCAAGGAGAGAAUCCUAAGGUGAGCGAGAGAACUAUGGUUAAGGAACUCGGCAAAAUUACCCCGUAACUUCGGAAUAAGGGGAGGUUUCUUCGGAAACCCGCAGUGAAUAGGUCCAGGCAACUGUUUACCAAAAACACAGGUCUCUGCUAAAGCGUAAGCUGAUGUAUAGGGGCUGACGCCUGCCCAGUGCUGGAAGGUUAAGAUGAUUUGUUAGGUGGACGAAAGUCGAUAACACCGAAGCUUUGAUUUGAAGCCCCAGUGAACGGCGGCGAUAACUAUAAUCGUCCAAAGGUAGCGAAAUUCCUUGUCAGGUAAGUUCUGAC